UACUCUCUUUGUUGAUAUAUUUCUUUUUUGUUUUUUAUUUUUUAUGUUAUUUUUGUAAAAUGUUUUAAUUUUUUUUUAUUUAGAUGGAAAUAUUAAAAAUUUGUUUUUUGAACUGGAUUAGUACCCAGGUAAUCAAAAUUUAAUAAUUCGGGAGUAAAGUUUUGUUUAAACCGAAAAAAUAUUGACUGACCUUAGAUUUUUCUUUGGAAUAUGUGUAUGGAGAGCCCUCUUUUUUAGUAAAUUUUGUUGGCACAUGUAUGAUUGUUAGUUUUUUAUAUUAUUUGGUAAUAUUUUUUGUGUUCACAUUUUAGACAGAUAUAUACUUGGCUUAUGAGUUUAUUAAUCAUGUAUUACUAUUAUUAAUUUUUUUUGGAUAAUUUUUUUAUUUUAUUUUGAAAUUGGAAAAGAAAGUAAUUUAAUUUUGAUGUUUUGAUGAAUUUAAUAAAUAAGGUGGUACAAACCAUCCCUCUAUA
This 473-nucleotide ribosomal RNA is filed under the name Pelecitus sp. PeleCon. Its description in RNAcentral is "partial small subunit ribosomal RNA". Lineage: Eukaryota; Metazoa; Nematoda; Chromadorea; Rhabditida; Onchocercidae. The record is from RNAcentral.